UCAACGUCGCGUAUGGAGUUGAGAACGUUUUCCUCAGAUGGCGUGGUUCUUGUCCACUGUAACGCAGGGGUUUCCAGGGCUGCUGCGGUUGUCAUCGGCUUCCUCAUGAGUUCUGAAGAACUUGCUUUCACCAAUGCUUUGUCGUUGGUGAAAGAGGCAAGACCAUCCAUAUGUCUGAAUCCUGGCUUCAUGGAACAACUCCGCACCUACCGAGUAGGCAAAGAGAGCAAUGGAGGUGACCAAGUGCCCGCAGUGGCCACCGACCAUGGUCCGUGAUCUGUACUCUAGCUGAGGCAAACUACUUAUGCAUCUGCCUCUGCCCUCUCGCCUGUGUUUUGGACGGUAACUUGUAAAGCUUCCCUUUUCUGUUGUCUUUUACCAGUGGAAAUGGAAGCUACUUUUGUCGACCGGAAUUAAUACAUUUUUACAUUUU
RNAcentral lists this long non-coding RNA (433 nucleotides) under Rattus norvegicus (Norway rat). Its description in RNAcentral is "long non-coding RNA NONRATT018306". The record is from RNAcentral. Lineage: Eukaryota; Metazoa; Chordata; Mammalia; Rodentia; Muridae.